AGUUAAUUCUUUCAUAUUAAGCGGAGAUAUGAAGCUGUUGCCUGUAUUUAAGAAGUUGGUCCUCAUUCCAACUGGAACUGACUUCUGUGUAUGAAAUAAGGAGAUACUACAUUGCAAUGAAAUCAUCAAAAGGAAGACAUUUGGAAAGAAGAGUAAAUAUCAAAUGAUCUGGCCAAGAAGAUACUGAUUGUAGCACUUCUUUAAAAGAUGGUCAACUGGAAUUUUUCCUUAUAAGUUAAUUGUUACCUGUAAAGUGGUUGUGAAAUCUGAAACUAUUGAGGUCUACUAUUUGGAAAGUAAUAAAAUUAAAGCACAU
Molecule: long non-coding RNA, 316 nt
Organism: Mustela erminea (ermine)
Lineage: Eukaryota; Metazoa; Chordata; Mammalia; Carnivora; Mustelidae
Exons: 3
Source: RefSeq, a predicted model, not a curated record